GUACACACCGCCCGUCACGCCAUGGAAGCGGCGAGUGCCCGAAGUCCGUGCCGGAACCCUCACGGGACCAAGCGGCCGAAGGCAAGCGUCGUGACUGGGGCAAAGUCGUAACAAGGUAUUCGUAGGUGAACCUGCAGAAGGAUCA
This 145-nucleotide ribosomal RNA is filed under the name uncultured eukaryote. RNAcentral's name for it is "partial small subunit ribosomal RNA". It matches the Rfam family "Bacterial small subunit ribosomal RNA", at positions 1383 to 1525 of the family's 1533-position model. The record is from RNAcentral.